GGUUCAUUCAAAUUUCUGCCCUAUCAACUUUCGAUUGUAGGGUAUUGGCCUACAAUGGUUUCAACGGGUAACGGAGAAUUAGGGUUCGAUUCCGGAGAGGGAGCCUGAGAAACGGCUACCACAUCCAAGGAAGGCAGCAGGCGCGCAAAUUACCCAAUCCCGACCGGGGAGGUAGUGACAAUAAAUACUGAUACAGGGCUCUUUUGGGUCUUGUAAUUGGAAUGAGUACAAUUUAAAUCCCUUAACGAGGAACAAUUGGAGGGCAAGUCUGGUGCCAGCAGCCGCGGUAAUUCCAGCUCCAAUAGCGUAUAUUAAAGUUGUUGCAGUUAAAAAGCUCGUAGUUG
RNAcentral lists this ribosomal RNA (344 nucleotides) under uncultured fungus. RNAcentral's name for it is "SSU rRNA". It matches the Rfam family "Eukaryotic small subunit ribosomal RNA", at positions 292 to 636 of the family's 1831-position model. Lineage: Eukaryota; Fungi. The record is from RNAcentral.